AAAUUGUUGUUUUUCAUCAUUUUUGUUUGAGUAUUUCUUCUACAAUUACUCAGGAAGAAUGGAUCCAAAACCCAGAAUAUAAGACCCCAAAGAACCUGCCUGCACUAAGAGGCAGGCCACCCCCUGCAUAGGCUGGCAGGCCAACCCGGCUCCCGCUCCCCAGCUGCUCAGGCAAAGCCACCCCCCUGCGUUGCAAAUAGAUGCUGAGGGAGUUUGAAGAGCCAGGGGGAAGGCUAGCAGAAGGGGGAUAUUUCUAAAAUAUGUCUGUUCUCUGGAGUUGGAUAAAUCAGCCUGAACUCCUCAGAACUCUAUUUCUUGCAAACUGUGGGAAUAUAAAACCAUAUUAUUGGUUCAGAGUUGCUCAGCGUGGGUUUUUUCUCAGGUUUUGAAGACAUGCACAGCAUAAAACCAAAUAUAUUUUUAAUACCCUGGAAACGUGUGGUAGAUUUUAAUGAAAGUGAUUAGAUGCAGGAAAAGAAAUGGAAGUGACAUGGAGGAAGUUGGUUGACCUGCAACAUUUGCCUCCCAGCCACCCCAACCAGGAAGGAUUCUGUGUUGGCAUCUACUCAAGUGCAGAGGGUCUGGGCUGUGACCUGCAGAUUGCUCCCAGCAUGAAUAGCAAAGCUUCCAGGAAGAGGCACAACUCUCCACCUCUGGAUGAGUCUCUUCAUCAGUGGAGCAGCCAAGUCAAAUCACACACAUCUUCAGGGCUUUGCACUGUUCCACCGAAGAAACCAAUCAAAAUGAUGAUACUAAUCAAAAUGAAGAAAUCGGUCCAAAAACCAAAACAAAGAAGCCAAAAUGAAACCAAGCAAAAAAUGAAAAUGGAAAAUGAAAACUAA
RNAcentral lists this long non-coding RNA (842 nucleotides) under Sus scrofa (pig). RNAcentral describes it as "lncRNA (ENSSSCG00050046259.1)". Lineage: Eukaryota; Metazoa; Chordata; Mammalia; Artiodactyla; Suidae. The record is from RNAcentral.